CUAAGAAAGAUGUUACUAACUAGCUUAAAAUCUAUGAAUCAGUCUUCUAGUCCCCUAUGGGGCCAUUACUGGAGAUACUGAACCUUUUUACUUUGUCAUUUAUCUUUGCUUAUGGGCACAGGAAGACCAUGCUGCAAGACCUGCUUCCUUGGGUGAUUGAUGGAGUUCUCCCUGGCUGACUACCCCAGGACACAAUGCCAGAAGAAUCCUGACUCCUUUGGCUUGCGCAGAAUGUCUCAAAGACUGACAGCCACACUUGACUCAUUAUUUUUUUGUUUAUGAAAAUAUCAGAAAGACGACACCUAGGAUAAGUUUUCAGUAUCAGUGUAUUCAAACAAUAGCAAUAAGAAAACAAAGGCACUUCCUUAAAUCUUUUUCACUUAAAUAGUAAGUAUGAUAUUGUAUUGGGGGAAUGAAGUUAUACUUGGGAUUUUUAGAUGUUCAAUUUCUCAACAGAUUGUUUAAAUCAAUAGUUCCUGAGGCAAAAGAUAUACAUCACAAUUAAUGUCUGUCAAAUUAUUAUUAUAUGGGAAUCUGCAAAUAAUUUGAUUUUAAGAAGGGCUCUUCAUUCUCACCUGAGUAAAAUAUGUACUCCUAUCUUUAUAGGUAAUGGAUGAGGGAAAAAAAUUGAAUAAUUAUUUUUGUUUUCUAGAAAAAUCUUCUAUUGAAAAAUAUCAAGUUUAAAUAAUAAUAUUAUCCUGUCUCUCCUAUUUCAAGCAACUAUUUCAAUGUAAUUACCAAACAACAAUCUGGAACUGUAAAAAUACACAUUAUGCCUGGAACUGUAAAAAUACACAUUAUAUUAUUUAUGUUUUACAACUCUAUGAGGCAAGUUUUAUUUUCCUCUCUUGGAGAAAACUGAGGCUUAGAGCACUGUACUUUGGCAAGCAUGACCACAGCUCUAUUAUAUGACAGAACAUACAUUAAGCCUUGUAGUAUUUAAUACUUCUGCUGUACACAAGCCAACCAAAGGCAAAAAUCACCUUCAAAACAAUGCUGAAGAGACAUGGAUCAGCAAUUGUAAAUAAUUAUAUUA
Molecule: long non-coding RNA, 1036 nt
Filed under: Macaca mulatta (Rhesus monkey)
Lineage: Eukaryota; Metazoa; Chordata; Mammalia; Primates; Cercopithecidae
Description: lncRNA (ENSMMUG00000060159.1)
Source: RNAcentral